RNAcentral lists this ribosomal RNA (450 nucleotides) under uncultured bacterium. RNAcentral describes it as "partial 16S ribosomal RNA". It matches the Rfam family "Bacterial small subunit ribosomal RNA", at positions 354 to 796 of the family's 1533-position model. The record is from RNAcentral.
GUGGGGAAUAUUCCGCAAUGGACGAAAGUCUGACGGAGCAACGCCGCGUGAGUGAUGAAGGUUUUCGGACUGUAAAGCUCUGUUGUUUAGGACGAAAGUGCCUGUUGCAAAUAGUUACAGGUAUUGACGGUACUGAACGAGGAAGCCACGGCUAACUACGUGCCAGCAGCCGCGGUAAUACGUAGGUGGCAAGCGUUGUCCGGAAUUAUUGGGCGUAAAGAGCAUGUAGGCGGGAAUCUAAGUCUGUUGUGAAAAUGCGGGGCUCAACCCCGUAUUGCGAUGGAAACUGGGUUUCUUGAGUGCAGGAGAGGAAAGGGGAAUUCCCAGUGUAGCGGUGAAAUGCGUAGAGAUUGGGAGGAACACCAGUGGCGAAGGCGACUUACUGGGCCGUAACUGACGCUGAGGCGCGAAAGCGUGGGGAGCGAACAGGAUUAGAUACCCCGGUAGUCC